This 639-nucleotide ribosomal RNA is filed under the name bacterium. RNAcentral describes it as "bacterial SSU rRNA". It matches the Rfam family "Bacterial small subunit ribosomal RNA", at positions 47 to 676 of the family's 1533-position model. The record is from RNAcentral.
CUGAUUGACGUGCUUGCACAGACUUGACGUUGGAUUACCAGCGAGUGGCGCACGGGUGAGUAACACGUAGGUAACCUGCCCCAGAUGGGGGGAUAACAUUUGGAAACAGAUGCUAAUACCGCAUAACAAUUUGAAUCGCAUGAUUCUUAUUUAAAAGAUGGCUUCGGCUAUCACUUUGGGAUGGACCUGCGGGGCAUUAGCUUGUUGGUAAGGUAACGGCCUACCAAGGCUGUGAUGCCUAUCCGAGUUGAGAGACUGAUCGGCCACAAUGGAACUGAUACACGGUCCAUACUCCUACGGGAGGCAGCAGUAGGGAAUCUUCCACAAUGGGCGCAAGCCUGAUGGAGCAACACCGCGUGAGUGAAUAAGGGUUUCGGCUCGUAAAGCUCUGUUGUUAGAGAAGAACGUGCGUGACAGCAACUGUUCACGCAGUGACGGUAUCUAACCAGAAAGUCACGGCUAACUACGUGCCAGCAGCCGCGGUAAUACGUAGGUGGCAAGCGUUAUCCGGAUUUAUUGGGCGUAAAGCGAGCGCAGGCGGUUGGAUAAGUCUGAUGUGAAAGCCUUUGGCUUAACCAAAGAAGUGCAUCGGAAACUGUCAGACUUGAGUGCAGAAGAGGACAGUGGAACUCCAUGGUU